GCCGGCUUCUGUCCUCAGGCUCCGCCUCCGCCAGAUCUCAUAUUGAAGGCCUUGAAAGCUCUUCGCUGGCUAAAUGAACGGACUGUGUAAUGCCAUCACUGGCUACUGUAGCAUUCAUAAGGUUGCAUCUACUGUAGAUGAAUCUACCAACGUCAAGCUGUGCAAUGUGUUUGCUGUUUAGAGGAAGAUCUUUGGGGAGACAGAGCCUGCGUGAUUAAAGAGGAAGCAGGAAGCAAAUGAGAA
Molecule: long non-coding RNA, 243 nt
Organism: Peromyscus eremicus (cactus mouse)
Lineage: Eukaryota; Metazoa; Chordata; Mammalia; Rodentia; Cricetidae
Exons: 3
Source: RefSeq, a predicted model, not a curated record